Long non-coding RNA from Poecilia reticulata (guppy), 817 nucleotides. RefSeq lists it as uncharacterized. Lineage: Eukaryota; Metazoa; Chordata; Actinopteri; Cyprinodontiformes; Poeciliidae. The record is from RefSeq and is a predicted model, not a curated record.
CUCGGGAGUUUUUCAGUUAAAACAAUUAACCUUGGCUCAAAACAGGUUGAAAAACACUGAUCUAGACAAUCUCAUGAAUAUAUUUUCAGAAGUUACAGCCUUGAUUUAAUCUGUCACUGAGUUACGCUGACAGAAACACAACAAGUCCAAAGUCACCUUAUGCCAAACUGAACAUCAGCCACUAGAGGGAGACUGUUCAGCGCUGCAGUCAGUCCAACACAGGCAGGAAGCAGCAGUGAGUCCGACUCUACAGGAGCAGCUGGGAGUUUCAUGGCGGUGCUGAUGACAUCUGUGUCCUUUCUGCUGCACCUGGCUUCAUCUGCAGCGGAGAGACGAAGCCACCGGAUCCACCCGGGUUUCUGUGGACGGAGUUCUGGCUGAACAACGAGCCUCUGCACCAGCUCACCUCCAGAGUCACCUGGGCAGACCACAAGUUUACAUACACCUGGCUAAAGAGACACGCCCACUUUUUAUUCCACCUGUCUGGAGUUAAAUAACGACUCUGGGUUCAGGACAAGCCUCAAGAAAGUUUCUCUCUGUAGUUUUCUGGCAGUUCCUCCUGUGGCCAAACAGCCCCGCAGCAUGAUGCUGCCACCGCCAUCCUUCACAGUUAUGGUGCAGGAACUACGACCUGCACAUCGACCCGGAGGACCGGGAACCAGAACUUCACCGAGUACCAGAACUUCAGACGAUCAGGAGGUUUCAGAUUAAAACCUCGGCACCGUUUACACCAGAUCUUCAGUUUUAUAGACAAUGGUGUCAACAAAAGUUAAUUAUUUUUUAACUUUAAUAUUUUCUGUAAAUAUUCAGCAUAAAU